Molecule: ribosomal RNA, 2897 nt
Filed under: Escherichia coli STEC_C165-02
Lineage: Bacteria; Pseudomonadati; Pseudomonadota; Gammaproteobacteria; Enterobacterales; Enterobacteriaceae
Description: bacterial LSU rRNA
Rfam family: Bacterial large subunit ribosomal RNA
Source: RNAcentral
UUAAGCGACUAAGCGUACACGGUGGAUGCCCUGGCAGUCAGAGGCGAUGAAGGACGUGCUAAUCUGCGAUAAGCGUCGGUAAGGUGAUAUGAACCGUUAUAACCGGCGAUUUCCGAAUGGGGAAACCCAGUGUGAUUCGUCACACUAUCAUUAACUGAAUCCAUAGGUUAAUGAGGCGAACCGGGGGAACUGAAACAUCUAGUACCCCGAGGAAAAGAAAUCAACCGAGAUUCCCCCAGUAGCGGCGAGCGAACGGGGAGGAGCCCAGAGCCUGAAUCAGUGUGUGUUAGUGGAAGCGUCUGGAAAGGCGCGCGAUACAGGGUGACAGCCCCGUACACAAAAAUGCACAUGCUGUGAGCUCGAUGAGUAGGGCGGGACACGUGGUAUCCUGUCUGAAUAUGGGGGGACCAUCCUCCAAGGCUAAAUACUCCUGACUGACCGAUAGUGAACCAGUACCGUGAGGGAAAGGCGAAAAGAACCCCGGCGAGGGGAGUGAAAAAGAACCUGAAACCGUGUACGUACAAGCAGUGGGAGCCUCCUUAUGGGGUGACUGCGUACCUUUUGUAUAAUGGGUCAGCGACUUAUAUUCUGUAGCAAGGUUAACCGAAUAGGGGAGCCGAAGGGAAACCGAGUCUUAACUGGGCGUUAAGUUGCAGGGUAUAGACCCGAAACCCGGUGAUCUAGCCAUGGGCAGGUUGAAGGUUGGGUAACACUAACUGGAGGACCGAACCGACUAAUGUUGAAAAAUUAGCGGAUGACUUGUGGCUGGGGGUGAAAGGCCAAUCAAACCGGGAGAUAGCUGGUUCUCCCCGAAAGCUAUUUAGGUAGCGCCUCGUGAAUUCAUCUCCGGGGGUAGAGCACUGUUUCGGCAAGGGGGUCAUCCCGACUUACCAACCCGAUGCAAACUGCGAAUACCGGAGAAUGUUAUCACGGGAGACACACGGCGGGUGCUAACGUCCGUCGUGAAGAGGGAAACAACCCAGACCGCCAGCUAAGGUCCCAAAGUCAUGGUUAAGUGGGAAACGAUGUGGGAAGGCCCAGACAGCCAGGAUGUUGGCUUAGAAGCAGCCAUCAUUUAAAGAAAGCGUAAUAGCUCACUGGUCGAGUCGGCCUGCGCGGAAGAUGUAACGGGGCUAAACCAUGCACCGAAGCUGCGGCAGCGACGCUUAUGCGUUGUUGGGUAGGGGAGCGUUCUGUAAGCCUGCGAAGGUGUGCUGUGAGGCAUGCUGGAGGUAUCAGAAGUGCGAAUGCUGACAUAAGUAACGAUAAAGCGGGUGAAAAGCCCGCUCGCCGGAAGACCAAGGGUUCCUGUCCAACGUUAAUCGGGGCAGGGUGAGUCGACCCCUAAGGCGAGGCCGAAAGGCGUAGUCGAUGGGAAACAGGUUAAUAUUCCUGUACUUGGUGUUACUGCGAAGGGUACGAGAAGGCUAUGUUGGCCGGGCGACGGUUGUCCCGGUUUAAGCGUGUAGGCUGGUUUUCCAGGCAAAUCCGGAAAAUCAAGGCUGAGGCGUGAUGACGAGGCACUACGGUGCUGAAGCAACAAAUGCCCUGCUUCCAGGAAAAGCCUCUAAGCAUCAGGUAACAUCAAAUCGUACCCCAAACCGACACAGGUGGUCAGGUAGAGAAUACCAAGGCGCUUGAGAGAACUCGGGUGAAGGAACUAGGCAAAAUGGUGCCGUAACUUCGGGAGAAGGCACGCUGAUAUGUAGGUGAAGCGACUUGCUCGUGGAGCUGAAAUCAGUCGAAGAUACCAGCUGGCUGCAACUGUUUAUUAAAAACACAGCACUGUGCAAACACGAAAGUGGACGUAUACGGUGUGACGCCUGCCCGGUGCCGGAAGGUUAAUUGAUGGGGUUAGCGGUAACGCGAAGCUCUUGAUCGAAGCCCCGGUAAACGGCGGCCGUAACUAUAACGGUCCUAAGGUAGCGAAAUUCCUUGUCGGGUAAGUUCCGACCUGCACGAAUGGCGUAAUGAUGGCCAGGCUGUCUCCACCCGAGACUCAGUGAAAUUGAACUCGCUGUGAAGAUGCAGUGUACCCGCGGCAAGACGGAAAGACCCCGUGAACCUUUACUAUAGCUUGACACUGAACAUUGAGCCUUGAUGUGUAGGAUAGGUGGGAGGCUUUGAAGUGUGGACGCCAGUCUGCAUGGAGCCGACCUUGAAAUACCACCCUUUAAUGUUUGAUGUUCUAACGUUGGCCCCUAAUCGGGGUUGCGGACAGUGUCUGGUGGGUAGUUUGACUGGGGCGGUCUCCUCCUAAAGAGUAACGGAGGAGCACGAAGGUUGGCUAAUCCUGGUCGGACAUCAGGAGGUUAGUGCAAUGGCAUAAGCCAGCUUGACUGCGAGCGUGACGGCGCGAGCAGGUGCGAAAGCAGGUCAUAGUGAUCCGGUGGUUCUGAAUGGAAGGGCCAUCGCUCAACGGAUAAAAGGUACUCCGGGGAUAACAGGCUGAUACCGCCCAAGAGUUCAUAUCGACGGCGGUGUUUGGCACCUCGAUGUCGGCUCAUCACAUCCUGGGGCUGAAGUAGGUCCCAAGGGUAUGGCUGUUCGCCAUUUAAAGUGGUACGCGAGCUGGGUUUAGAACGUCGUGAGACAGUUCGGUCCCUAUCUGCCGUGGGCGCUGGAGAACUGAGGGGGGCUGCUCCUAGUACGAGAGGACCGGAGUGGACGCAUCACUGGUGUUCGGGUUGUCAUGCCAAUGGCACUGCCCGGUAGCUAAAUGCGGAAGAGAUAAGUGCUGAAAGCAUCUAAGCACGAAACUUGCCCCGAGAUGAGUUCUCCCUGACUCCCUGAGAGUCCUGAAGGAACGUUGAAGACGACGACGUUGAUAGGCCGGGUGUGUAAGCGCAGCGAUGCGUUGAGCUAACCGGUACUAAUGAACCGUGAGGCUUAACCUU